UACGUAGGUGGCGAGCGUUGUCCGGAAUUACUGGGUGUAAAGGGCGUGUAGGCGGGAAUGUAAGUCAGAUGUGAAAUUCCGAGGCUCAACCUCGGCGCUGCAUCUGAAACUGCGUUUCUUGAGUGUCGGAGAGGAAAGCGGAAUUCCCAGUGUAGCGGUGAAAUGCGUAGAGAUUGGGAGGAACACCAGUGGCGAAGGCGGCUUUCUGGACGAUAACUGACGCUGAGGCGCGAAAGCGUGGGGAGCAAACAGG
This 253-nucleotide ribosomal RNA is filed under the name uncultured bacterium. RNAcentral describes it as "partial 16S ribosomal RNA". It matches the Rfam family "Bacterial small subunit ribosomal RNA", at positions 524 to 776 of the family's 1533-position model. The record is from RNAcentral.